GCAGCAGGAGGAGCUGCAGCUCAUCCACGUAGCUCUGGACGACUUGGCAUGUGACAGCAGCCCUGCCAUCCGUGGCCUAGCAAUUCAAACACUCUACAUUCUCAAGGCAGUACAGAGAACUCGAUAUUCCAUUUUCGAGAAUCUGCAAGGUCAGCUGUCCAGGGCAUGGAGGACACGGCCUCGUCUAUUGAGCCUUGGCUGGCUGCGCUGCUGGAGAUCUGCAGAGAGCUGAUGUGGGAGGCUCUGUCUGCUGGGACCUCCUGAGCCAGCAUUAAUUUUCUUUUCUUCAAGAUUGUUCUUCUUUUAAUUUUUCUUUAGGAUAUAAAUAUAGGAUGUGUUAGAAUACA
Molecule: non-coding RNA, 347 nt
Organism: Sturnus vulgaris (Common starling)
Lineage: Eukaryota; Metazoa; Chordata; Aves; Passeriformes; Sturnidae
Source: RefSeq, a predicted model, not a curated record